GAAGACAAACGUUUUAUUGUUAUUACUCAAAAAAUUGUGAUGAUAAUGAGUUGAACAACCUUUUGAGAAGAGGCAGACUACAGAGCUCUUAGUGAACUAUGUUAACUUUAAAAAUGUAAUUGGGUUACCAAAAAUCAAAUUAUGUUGUUGUGCAUAUAAUUUUCUUCAUGCAGUAUUGCUGAUUAUCAAAAUGUUUUGCAUGGAUAUGCUCUUUUAUGAUGCACUCAUUGACUUUAAACACCAAAUUAUACCUUUAGUAGUUAGCAGUGCCACAAAUGUUGAAAUACAUUUGGCCAUUCUCUGUCAAAUUAAAAUUUAUUCCAAAUAUGCUUUGUGUAUUUUCCAUUUUCUGUUCAAAAUUCAAUAAACACAACAACCCAUUUCUUUGUUUUUAAAUCAUAUUAUCUCAACUUUUCCUGUCACCAGACCUACCUUAUAACUGUUGUGUACAUAUUAGAAUAAGAGAUUUUAUUACCAGAUUAGUAUUUCCUCCUUGUUCAAUCUGCAAAUAAGCACAGGCUUUAAUUCAAGUCCUCUAAAUUGAACACACAUGCCAAAAACUCACUUAUCCCAUCAGGAUUAGUCUCUCUUAUGUAUGUUCAAUAAAGAAAAUAAAGAAAUUAUUUUUUUUAUGGUUAGUUAUUGGCUUGACAUUUUCUUUGGUGACAAACAUCAUGAUUCAUUGGAUCACUUCAGGCCAUAUCAAGAAAAAACUUGCAAAGAAGCUAGUUCAAUUCACAAAGAAGUCUUUAUUAUAUUCCCAUUCCACUGUGUCCAGCUGUUGAUUGUUGCUGAUUUGCUCAGUCCAACAAAUGGCUUCAUUCAUUUACAGGUUUCCCGGCAGAGACAUCAAUCACAAAAUCAGAAGAGAACAGCAAAAGGACAAAAGAGGCGGUAUCAUUUUCCCUUGUUUUGCUGCUACUCUUCUUUCUUUCACCUCGCUCCUCUCAGCUGCAGUGCUUGGAUUUACUGCCCAUUUGUGGUGACAAGGACCCAGCCAGGGAAUACUAUCCCCAGGUUCAGCACUGUGAGUAUCAGGAGUUCUGAGCACUGGGUAAGUAAUCACGAAUUAUCAUUGCAGCAAUAUGUGGCCGCAUGCGUGAUACUUAUUUACACGGGACCAAUUUUUCUGCAGGGUUGAAAUAGUAGGGUAGCGCAUUAUCUCACUAUAUAUCUGUACUGGUAGAAAUGAAACCCAUAGGUGUUCAGCAAAUCUCACUUCUCCCUUUCUAUUUUUAAAGGCAUUUAUUCUGAAGAUUAUUUAUGCACAUAUUGCUUGAGAGAAUAACAUAUCAUGAUAAUGCUAUUUUCCUGCAGAAUUGUUUAUCCACUUAUGCAAGCCCCAAAAAGCUUGGCAGGAGAAGAAAUCAGUAGCUAAGCAUCAAGGAGCAGCAGCACUAAGCCAGAUGCAUGCUGCCACCAGAAGACAGCCCAGACCCACCCCACAUCACAGCGAGCUGGGAGAUCCCAGCACUUGGGAUAGGGGUGAACACAGGAGGUGAAGGACAAGAGACAACCUGGACUCCUUCACAACUAUCUCCCAGCUCCAACUUUCACCCCCAGCCAUGUUCCCAUCCUAAUUCAUCAUUCCUUACUUCAAAUGCCAUUCUUCACAUAGCUAAACUGUGCUACAGUGCUGAAGGUUCAAACGCUACCAACCAUGCCUUGUAAGAAGGACACAACUGUCUAUUUUCUACAACUCAACAUAAAACACUCAUUGAAAGCAUACUGGCUUAAAAAUAGGCACUAAAAAUGGAGGAAAUGCCAAAUUUUAAAUGAGCUCUCUUUGUGUGCAAGCAUCAUGCUACUACGAUUGCACACAAACUUUCUCCAGAGAAUCCUCAUCUUGUUCAGCAAUGAGGAUAAAUACGUGAGGAGGCAGGAUAAUAACCACUCGUGCAGCCUGAAACCUGGAACUUGCCAGUGUUUUAAUUCCGUAAAUUUACAGUCUGAAUACCAUGAAUGGGUUUCCU
Molecule: long non-coding RNA, 1973 nt
Organism: Oxyura jamaicensis (ruddy duck)
Lineage: Eukaryota; Metazoa; Chordata; Aves; Anseriformes; Anatidae
Exons: 3
Source: RefSeq, a predicted model, not a curated record